UUAGUGGCGGACGGGUGAGUAACGCGUGGAUAACCUGCCGUAUACAGGGGGAUAACACUUAGAAAUAGGUGCUAAUACCGCAUAAGCGCACGGUUCCGCAUGGAACAGUGUGUAAAAACUCCGGUGGUAUACGAUGGAUCCGCGUCUGAUUAGCCAGUUGGCGGGGUAACGGCCCACCAAAGCGACGAUCAGUAGCCGGCCUGAGAGGGUGAACGGCCACAUUGGGACUGAGACACGGCCCAAACUCCUACGGAAGGCAGCAG
This 263-nucleotide ribosomal RNA is filed under the name uncultured bacterium. Its description in RNAcentral is "partial 16S ribosomal RNA". It matches the Rfam family "Bacterial small subunit ribosomal RNA", at positions 92 to 354 of the family's 1533-position model. The record is from RNAcentral.